GUUGGGUGUGGUGGUACACAUCUGUAAUCCCAGCUACUGGGGAGGUUGAGGCAGGAGGAUCUCAAGUUCAAUGCCAGUCUAGGAAAUAUGGUGAGACCAUGCCUCAA
RNAcentral lists this small RNA (107 nucleotides) under Marmota monax (woodchuck). Lineage: Eukaryota; Metazoa; Chordata; Mammalia; Rodentia; Sciuridae. The record is from RNAcentral.